UCUAACAUAGGCCAUGGAUGACGUACCGGACUAGAAGCACCGGCUAACUACGUGCCAGCAGCCGCGGUAAUACGUAGGGUGCGAGCGUUAAUCGGAAUUACUGGGCGUAAAGCGUGCGCAGGCGGUUUUGUAAGACAGAUGUGAAAUCCCCGGGCUUAACCUGGGAACUGCGUUUGUGACUGCAAGGCUAGAGUACGGCAGAGGGGGGUGGAAUUCCUGGUGUAGCAGUGAAAUGCGUAGAGAUCAGGAGGAACACCGAUGGCGAAGGCAGCCCCCUGGGCCUGUACUGACGCUCAUGCACGAAAGCGUGGGGAGCAAACAGGAUUAGAUACCCUGGUAGUCCACGCCCUAAACGAUGUCGACUAGUCGUUCGGAGCAGCAAUGCACUGAGUGACGCAGCUAACGCGUGAAGUCGACCGCCUGGGGAGUACGGCCGCAAGGUUAAAACUCAAAGGAAUUGACGGGGAG
This 468-nucleotide ribosomal RNA is filed under the name uncultured bacterium. RNAcentral's name for it is "bacterial SSU rRNA". It matches the Rfam family "Bacterial small subunit ribosomal RNA", at positions 453 to 920 of the family's 1533-position model. The record is from RNAcentral.